This 283-nucleotide unclassified non-coding RNA is filed under the name plant metagenome. RNAcentral's name for it is "partial contains small subunit ribosomal RNA, internal transcribed spacer 1, and 5.8S ribosomal RNA". The stretch from base 1 to 52 matches the Rfam family "Eukaryotic small subunit ribosomal RNA", at positions 1780 to 1831 of the family's 1831-position model. The record is from RNAcentral.
GGGUAAAAGUCGUAACAAGGUUUCCGUAGGUGAACCUGCGGAAGGAUCAUUAUUGUAUAACCGAGGUGCGAGGGCUGUCGCUGACCCGAAAGGUCGUGCACGCCCGAGUGCCCUCACACACAUCCAUCUCACCCCUAUGUGCACCACCGCGUGGGUCCCCCUUUGGCUUGUUCGGAGGGGGGCUUACGUUUUCACACAAACUUUGUAUGCAGUGUAGAAUGUAUUUUUUGUUUUUGCGAUCACGCAAUCAAUACAACUUUCAACAACGGAUCUCUUGGCUCUC